RNAcentral lists this long non-coding RNA (244 nucleotides) under Panax ginseng (ginseng). Its description in RNAcentral is "long non-coding RNA (PGIN_LNC018231)". The record is from RNAcentral. Lineage: Eukaryota; Viridiplantae; Streptophyta; Magnoliopsida; Apiales; Araliaceae.
UUUUUUCGGAAUUAGAGGAGCAGCUAAAGGGACACCUACCUAUUUGUAUCUGAAAAGCGGUACAGUCGUCUUACCCUUCCCUUGCUUUCAGGUUAGGAAAAGACUCUCACUUCACCAUCUCAUUUUAAAUCCGAGGAAAAGUAUAACAUAUCGAACGAAGGAAAAGCAGGCAGAUAGAAGAAAUAGAAGCAAAGAAACCGAAGUAACGAGUGAGUAGGAAAUUAUAAAAAAACUCCAACGUAUU